GGCUUAUUGAAGAUAAUUUUAGGUCUGACCUGCCCUAUGAUGAAAAUUAAAUGGCUGCGGUAAUUUGACCGUGCAAAGGUAGCAUAAUCACUAGUUUUUUAAUUGAAAGCUUGUAUGAAGGGUUUGAUGAAAAAAUAGCUGUCUCUAUUUAGAUUUUAAAAUUUUAUUUUUAAGUAAAAAAGCUUAAAUAAUUGUAGAAGACGAGAAGACCCUGUAGAGUUUUAUAAUUAUUUUAAUAAUUAAAAUUUAGAAUUAUAGUAUUUAUUAAGAUAAUUAUUUAGUUGGGGUGAUUGAAAAAUUGAAGUAACUUUUUCUUAAAAAAAACAUUAAUUUAUGAUUAAUUGAUCCUUAAUUUAAGAUUAUAAGAUAAAAUUACCUCAGGGAUAACAGCGUAAUUUUUUUUAGAGUUCUUAUCGAAAAAAAAGAUUGCGACCUCGAUGUUGGAUUAAAGUAAGUUAUAGGUGUAGAAGCUUAUAAAUUAGGUCUGUUCGACCUUUAAAUCUUUACAUGAUCUGAGUUUAAACCGGUGUAAG
This 533-nucleotide ribosomal RNA is filed under the name Cryptorhynchinae gen. sp. ARC4806. Its description in RNAcentral is "partial 16S large subunit ribosomal RNA". It matches the Rfam family "Bacterial large subunit ribosomal RNA", at positions 1819 to 2625 of the family's 2925-position model. The record is from RNAcentral. Lineage: Eukaryota; Metazoa; Arthropoda; Insecta; Coleoptera; Curculionidae.